RNAcentral lists this ribosomal RNA (514 nucleotides) under Skeatia rugosa. Its description in RNAcentral is "partial 16S large subunit ribosomal RNA". The stretch from base 388 to 514 matches the Rfam family "Archaeal large subunit ribosomal RNA", at positions 2544 to 2670 of the family's 2987-position model. The record is from RNAcentral. Lineage: Eukaryota; Metazoa; Arthropoda; Insecta; Hymenoptera; Ichneumonidae.
GUCUUUUUGAAAAUAAUUUAAAGUYGAAUYUGCUCCAUGAUAAAUUAUUAAAUAGCUGCAGUAUACUGACUGUGCAAAGGUAGCAAAAUCAAUAGUUUUUUAAUUAAAAGCUGGUAUGAAUGAUUUAAUAAGGUAAAUAUUGUCUCAAUUUUAAUAAAAUUAAAAUUUUUUUUUUAGUAAAAAUACUAAAUUGAAUUUAAAAGACGAGAAGACCCUAUAGAUUUUUAUAAUUUUUAAUAAAAAAUAUAUUUAAAUAAAUAAAUAAAUUUUAAUUAAAAAUUAUUUGGUUGGGGAAAUUAUUAAAUUAAAAUAAUUUUAAUAAAUUUAAAACAAAAAUUAUUGGAUAAAUGAUCUUAAAUAAAAAUUAUAAGAAUAAAAUACCUUAGGGAUAACAGCGUAAUUUUUUUGGAGAGAUCUAAUUGAUAAAAAAGUUUGCGACCUCGAUGUUGAAUUAAGAUAAAAUUUUAAUGUAGAAGUUAAAAAAUUUUGGUCUGUUCGACCAUUAAAAUCUUAC